GGUUAUUUUUAAUACAUUGUGUCAUUACAAUGACUGAGGAUUUAUUGUCCGUUACUGACUGUCAAAAAAGUCUAUGUAUAAAAUUUCCAUAAAUAUGAUCCAAUUACUACAAGUAACAUAAUGUUUGAUGUGCCGCAACAUACAUGUCAAUUAAUAAUGUCAAUAAUUAAUUGGUUAUUUUUAAUACAAUGUGUCAUUACAAUGACUGAGGAUUUAUUGUCCGUCACUGACUGUCAAAAAAGUCUAUGUAUAAAAUUUCCAUAAAUAUGAUCCAAUUACUACAAGUAACAUAAUAUUUGAUGUGCCGCAACAUACAUGUCAAAAAAAAAAAAAAAAAAAUCAAAUAGAAAGUCUUACCUCAAAUGUAAAAAGUAGCUUUCAAAAUGAAUUUCGUGAUUCAAAAUAUAUACCUACAACAUUGAUGAUCACACAAUAUCUUGUAUGUUCAAGUAUUAACAUACAUAUAGUAUGUAGUCUAUAUACACUACUAUACUGUCUCUACACACUACUAUACUGUCUCUACAAUCCUCUACAGUUUUAUGUGUUGGAAAAUCAUCAAUUUAUGUAC
This is a long non-coding RNA of Aphis gossypii (cotton aphid), 568 nucleotides long. RefSeq lists it as uncharacterized. The transcript is spliced from 4 exons. NCBI's taxonomy places the organism in Eukaryota, Metazoa, Arthropoda, Insecta, Hemiptera, Aphididae. The record is from RefSeq and is a predicted model, not a curated record.